This 49-nucleotide ribosomal RNA is filed under the name Arenicella xantha. Lineage: Bacteria; Pseudomonadati; Pseudomonadota; Gammaproteobacteria; Arenicellales; Arenicellaceae. The record is from RNAcentral.
GCCGAUGGUAGUGCGGGAUUCCCCGUGUGAGAGUAGGACAUCGCCAGAU